This is a non-coding RNA of Desmophyllum pertusum, 73 nucleotides long. NCBI's taxonomy places the organism in Eukaryota, Metazoa, Cnidaria, Anthozoa, Scleractinia, Caryophylliidae. The record is from the annotation of a GenBank genome assembly.
GGCUUCAUAGCUCAGUUGGUAGAGCAUCGCACUAGUAACGCAAAGGUCAAGGGUUCAAAUCAUGUUGAAGCCU